RNAcentral lists this long non-coding RNA (333 nucleotides) under Homo sapiens (human). RNAcentral's name for it is "HSALNT0345259". The record is from RNAcentral. Lineage: Eukaryota; Metazoa; Chordata; Mammalia; Primates; Hominidae.
CCGACCCACAGAUACUGACGGCCAGCACGAUCCAAAAUCUAACUCUAUGAGGAGAGAGGGGAACCAGGAAGCCUAGAACCAGAAGCUGAAGACUAAAGCUCCCAGCGCCUACUGAACCACCCCAUCCCAAAUCUCCUUGUCAAGAUGGCAACUUUAUUCAGAAGGGGGCUUCCAAGGUUAAACAGAGCUAUUGAAGAAGAAAUCAUCCCUCACGCCUCCACCACAGGCCCAAAGAAGAACUAUAAGAGGAUCCUUUGGAAAAUGAGAUUGAAUUUUGCUCUUGUGGCUACAAGGAAUAGAACCAGCAUCAAGGUUUAAGUUCCUAUGAAAGCA